This 83-nucleotide transfer RNA is filed under the name Clostridia bacterium. RNAcentral describes it as "tRNA-Leu". It matches the Rfam family "tRNA". From Rfam's summary of the family: Transfer RNA (tRNA) molecules are approximately 80 nucleotides in length. Their secondary structure includes four short double-helical elements and three loops (D, anti-codon, and T loops). Further hydrogen bonds mediate the characteristic L-shaped molecular structure. tRNAs have two regions of fundamental functional importance: the anti-codon, which is responsible for specific mRNA codon recognition, and the 3' end, to which the tRNAs corresponding amino acid is attached (by aminoacyl-tRNA synthetases). tRNAs cope with the degeneracy of the genetic code in two manners: having more than one tRNA (with a specific anti-codon) for a particular amino acid; and 'wobble' base-pairing, i.e. permitting non-standard base-pairing at the 3rd anti-codon position. The record is from RNAcentral. Lineage: Bacteria; Bacillati; Bacillota; Clostridia.
GCGGAUAUGGCGGAACUGGCAGACGCGCAGGACUUAGAUUCCGGUGGGAGACCGUGGAGGUUCGAUUCCUGUUAUCCGCACCA